AUGUCACACCACCAAUCGAACACCGCGCCGGGACCCGUGUCUCGCUCGCAGCCGCGCCGGCACCCGUGGAUCGCUGGAAGCCUCGCCGGCACCCGUGUCUCGCUGGCAGCCGCGGCGGCACCGGGGGCAAAGUUUGAGGAAACAUGCCUACCUGAUCCGGCGGCAAACUUUGAAGAAACAGUUCAAAUCCACAUGAUCCGGACACAAACCUGGAAGCGUGGAGAAUCAGGCCUUGACUGCCACGCUCGAAAGAUAGGAUUUGAAAAUUAUUUGUUGUAUAUGGAAAGUGCAAAAAUAUUAGAUUAA
RNAcentral lists this ribosomal RNA (306 nucleotides) under Triticum aestivum (bread wheat). Its description in RNAcentral is "partial small subunit ribosomal RNA". Lineage: Eukaryota; Viridiplantae; Streptophyta; Magnoliopsida; Poales; Poaceae. The record is from RNAcentral.